GAUGAACGCUGGCUACAGGCUUAACACAUGCAAGUCGAGGGGAAACGACGGGGAAGCUUGCUUCCCCGGGCGUCGACCGGCGCACGGGUGAGUAACGCGUAUCCAACCUGCCUCUGACUGAGGGAUAACCCGUCGAAAGUCGGCCUAAUACCUCAUGGUAUCGUCUGCGGGCAUCCAACGACGAUUAAAGAUUUCAUCGGUCAGGGAUGGGGAUGCGUCUGAUUAGCUUGUUGGCGGGGUAACGGCCCACCAAGGCUACGAUCAGUAGGGGUUCUGAGAGGAAGGUCCCCCACAUUGGAACUGAGACACGGUCCAAACUCCUACGGGAGGCAGCAGUGAGGAAUAUUGGUCAAAGGGCGAGAGCCUGAACCAGCCAAGUAGCGUGCAGGAAGACGGCCCUAUGGGUUGUAAACUGCUUUUAUGCGGGGAUAAAGUGAGGGACGUGUCCCUCAUUGCAGGUACCGCAUGAAUAAGGACCGGCUAAUUCCGUG
Molecule: ribosomal RNA, 491 nt
Filed under: uncultured bacterium
Lineage: Bacteria
Description: partial 16S ribosomal RNA
Rfam family: Bacterial small subunit ribosomal RNA
Source: RNAcentral